Molecule: ribosomal RNA, 465 nt
Filed under: Vreelandella stevensii
Lineage: Bacteria; Pseudomonadati; Pseudomonadota; Gammaproteobacteria; Oceanospirillales; Halomonadaceae
Description: partial 16S ribosomal RNA
Rfam family: Bacterial small subunit ribosomal RNA
Source: RNAcentral
CCUACGGGUGGCUGCAGUGGGGAAUAUUGGACAAUGGGCGAAAGCCUGAUCCAGCCAUGCCGCGUGUGUGAAGAAGGCCUUCGGGUUGUAGAGCACUUUCAGUGGGGAAGAAAGCCUUGGGGCUAAUACCCUCGAGGAAGGACAUCACCCACAGAAGAAGCACCGGCUAACUCCGUGCCAGCAGCCGCGGUAAUACGGAGGGUGCGAGCGUUAAUCGGAAUUACUGGGCGUAAAGCGCGCGUAGGCGGUCUGAUAAGCCGGUUGUGAAAGCCCCGGGCUCAACCUGGGAACGGCAUCCGGAACUGUCAGGCUAGAGUGCAGGAGAGGAAGGUAGAAUUCCCGGUGUAGCGGUGAAAUGCGUAGAGAUCGGGAGGAAUACCAGUGGCGAAGGCGGCCUUCUGGACUGACACUGACGCUGAGGUGCGAAAGCGUGGGUAGCAAACAGGAUUAGAUACCCCAGUAGUC